UACGUAGGGGGCAAGCGUAAUCCGGAUUUACUGGGUGUAAAGGGAGCGUAGACGGCAAUGCAAGUCUGGAGUGAAAGGCGGGGGCCCAACCCCCGGACUGCUCUGGAAACUGUAUAGCUGGAGUGCAGGAGAGGUAAGUGGAAUUCCUAGUGUAGCGGUGAAAUGCGUAGAUAUAUGGAGGAACACCGGUGGCGAAAGCGGCUCUCUGGCCUGUAACUGACACUGAGGCUCGAAAGCGUGGGGAGCAAACAGG
Molecule: ribosomal RNA, 253 nt
Filed under: uncultured bacterium
Lineage: Bacteria
Description: partial 16S ribosomal RNA
Rfam family: Bacterial small subunit ribosomal RNA
Source: RNAcentral